RNAcentral lists this ribosomal RNA (479 nucleotides) under uncultured organism. Its description in RNAcentral is "partial 16S ribosomal RNA". It matches the Rfam family "Bacterial small subunit ribosomal RNA", at positions 331 to 801 of the family's 1533-position model. The record is from RNAcentral.
GUACACUCCUACGGGAGGCAGCAGUGGGGAAUUUUGAACAAUGGGCGAAAGCCUGAUCCAGCAAUGCCGCGUGAGUGAAGAAGGCCUUCGGGUUGUAAAGCUCUUUUGUCAGGGAAGAAACGGUGAAAGCUAAUAUCUUUUGCUAAUGACGGUACCUGAAGAAUAAGCACCGGCUAACUACGUGCCAGCAGCCGCGGUAAUACGUAGGGUGCAAGCGUUAAUCGGAAUUACUGGGCGUAAAGCGUGCGCAGGCGGUUUUGUAAGUCUGAUGUGAAAUCCCCGGGCUCAACCUGGGAAUUGCAUUGGAGACUGCAAGGCUAGAAUCUGGCAGAGGGGGGUAGAAUUCCACGUGUAGCAGUGAAAUGCGUAGAUAUGUGGAGGAACACCGAUGGCGAAGGCAGCCCCCUGGGUCAAGAUUGACGCUCAUGCACGAAAGCGUGGGGAGCAAACAGGAUUAGAAACCCCAGUAGUCCCAUGAU